RNAcentral lists this long non-coding RNA (2782 nucleotides) under Homo sapiens (human). Its description in RNAcentral is "HSALNT0080180". Lineage: Eukaryota; Metazoa; Chordata; Mammalia; Primates; Hominidae. The record is from RNAcentral.
AAACAAACAAAAAAAAUUAUAUAGUCUCUAACUCAUAUGAGAUUGUAAUCAUUUGGAAAUAUGAGCAAGAAAUAUUUACACUUUGAAAGAGCCACAGAUGGUGAUGUAUCCAACGUAUGAGACACACACCAAGUGCUAUGAGUAUUCAGGGUAGUGAGAUAUUACUGUGUACUAGAGCAGCAAAGACAGAUUUGGGGAAGGACAUAGACUUGAGAUGAGUCUUAAAAAUAAUCUGUACCUGAAUAGAUGAAGAGGUGUGGAGAGAGCAUGCCGAGUACAGCUGCUCAGCAUUUUUGCAUAUAAGCUUUUAACAAUUGCUUAAAGUAUACUCCUGUGAACAAAAUUUGGAGCAUAUUUCUCUCUACCUGAUUUCUCCAGGAUUUGGACACUCUUUAGAAUCCAAUUGAAUGCUAUUAUAGUUUGGAUAUUUGACCCUCCAACCAGCAUGUUGAAAUUUGAUCCACAAUGUUGGAGGUGGGGCCUAAUUGGAGGUGUUUGGAUCAUGGUGGUGGAUACUUCAUGAAUGGCUUGCUACUGUCCUCCUGGAAAUUAGUCAAGGGCCAUUGACUUCCAGACUUUCUUGAUGGAGUUCCACUGCAGCUCUGGCUUAAUUUUCUUCUUCUAUGGCCAGGAAUCCUCCUAGAUGAUGAGAUAGAUGCCAUUUUCUGUGCUCAGCAGCUCUUACCUGGACUUCUCUUCCAGAUGCAGUUAAAGCCCCAAAUCCUAAUAUGAUGCUAUUUGGGAUCUGGAGAUGAAGCCUUUUGAAGCCAUGAAGAGACGUGCCUUGCUCCACCUUCACCUUCGACCAUAAUUGUAAGUUUCCUGAGGUCUCCUCAGCCAUGUGGAACUGUGAACCAAACCUCUUUCUUUUAUAAAUUACUUAGUCUCAGGAAGUAUAGUGGUGUGAGAACAGACUAAUAUAUCAGCCCAAAGGGAGCAUCCUCAACUAGACACCAACCCUGCUGGCACCUUGACCUUGGAUUUUCCAGUCUCUACAAUUCUGAUAAAUAUAUUCUGUUGUUUAAGCUACUCAGUCUUUUGGUAUUUUGUCAUGGCAGCUCUAAUAAACUAUUAGGGGUGGUAGCUCUAUUAAAAUUCCUUUAUCUAAUCACUUUUAAUAGUACAGUCAGGCUUCAUACUGCUGAGAGUAUCCAAACUAGCAUCACAAGGGACACAGCUUUGGCCUUCUCACCUUGUUUUCAAAACUUGUGAGACUCUGCUUGGGCCAGUUUUCAUCUUUCAAGGAAUUUGUGCAUUUCAUGUAAGUUAUUAAAUUUAUGUUUUUUAAAUAGUUUGUAAUAUUUCCUUAUUAUUAUCUAAUGUUUGUAGAACAUUGCUGUUAUCUGUGUUGUCUCACCGUUUUGGUCAUUCUUGCUAGAGAUUUAUUUGUAUUGAUCUUUUUUAAACAAUAGCCUUGGUAUUCACUGAUCUUUCUUUCUCUUUCUUUCUUUCUUUUUCUUUCUUUCCUUCCUUCCUUCCUUCUUUUUUUUUUUUUUUUGAUGGUGUCUGUCUCUGACACUCAGGCUGAAGUGCGGUGGCACUAUCGUGGCUAGCUGCAGCCUCGACCUCUCAGGCUCAAGUAAUCCUCCCACCUCAGUCUCCUGAAUAACUGGGACUGCAGGUGCACACCACAAGCCUGGCUAAUUUAUUUUAUUUUUUGUAGAGACAGUCUUGAUAUGUUGCCCAGGCCCUUGAUAUGCUGGACUCAAGCCAUCUUCUGACUCGGCUGCCUAAAGUGCUGGGAUUACAGGUGUGAGCCAUGGCACCCAGCCUGAUUUGUCUUUAUUGUUUUAAAUGUUUUGUCAAUUUCUUUCACUUUUGCUCUUCUCUUAACUACUUUAUUUCUCCUGCUUGUUUUGGAUUUACUUGAUAUUCACCUUCUAUAUUUUAGUUCAAGGUAUAAGCUUAGGUCAUUGAUUUCAAAUUUCUGUCUUUCUAAUAUAAAUAUUUAGCUGGGGCCUACAAAUAUAUAGAUACGUUGUAUUUUUAGUUUCAUUCAGUUAAAAAUAUUUUCUAAUUUCCUUUUUGUUUUUCUCUUUAGUCUGUGGAUUAUUUACAAAUGUAGUACUAAAUGUUCUACAAGCUAUAUUUCUGUUAUUGCUUUAUAGUUUGUUUAUAUCAAAAUUUGUGUGAUUUCAAUCUGUUUGAAUUUAUUUACAUUAUUGUAUGGUCUAGAAUAUCAGCUAUAUUGGUAAAUAUAUAACAUGUACUUAAAAAAUGUAUAUUAUAACUUUGGUGCAGUGAUCUAUAAAUAUCAAUUAGUUCAAUUUGACUAAUAGUGUUGUUCAAGCCUUGUACAUCUUUAUUACAUUUUAAUGUGCUUGCUACAUUUUAUACAGAGAGAAAAAUGUCAAAAUAUCUUAAUCUAUUGAUUUUUUAAUUUCUCUUUUCUGUUUUAUCAGUUUUUUUCUCCAUGUAUUUUGAAGUUUUUUGAUUGUUAUGUCUUUUUGAUAAAUUGCUCUUUGUAUUAUAGAAUGCCCCUCCAUUUUUAUUCCUGGCCUUAUUCCUGUCUCUAAAACCUACUUUGUCUCUUACUCAUACACUCAUUUUAUUUUUCUUUUGUUUAGUGUUUGCAGGCUAAAAUUUUUCCCAUCAGUUUUAUCUUUAAACUUCCUUUAAUUGUGUUUUGCAUAAAAUUUUUUUUUGUAGAUUAUUUGAAGAUUUUUUCAUAGGAUUUUAUGUGCUUGGUUCUUGGCUUUUGAAUCUAACAGUCUCUCCCUUUUAAUUGGAGUGUUUGUAACAUUUAUAUUUAAUUAUCAGAUUUAAAUUAAUCAUCUUUUAU